GGAAUUUUUCCAUUCAGAUUGUUGGCAUUGAGGAUAAGCUCUUCAAGCAUUGCUAGAGAACCAAGCUCUGUAGGGAUUUUUCCAGUAAGAUUAUUCCUUUGCAGUUGGAUUAUCCUGAGAUGGGAACAGCGGGUCAGAUUGAGCGGAAAUUCACCUUCUAUUGUAUUGUUGUUGAGACUGAAUUGUUGCAAUCGAAGCAAAUUACCGACUUCCUGUGGAAUUUGACCGUUGAAGCUAUUGUUUUGAAGGUUGAGGAUCCUUCAAAACUCAAGUUGCCAAUAUAUGGUGAUAUUGAU
RNAcentral lists this unclassified non-coding RNA (296 nucleotides) under Hevea brasiliensis (rubber tree). Lineage: Eukaryota; Viridiplantae; Streptophyta; Magnoliopsida; Malpighiales; Euphorbiaceae. The record is from RNAcentral.